Molecule: long non-coding RNA, 203 nt
Filed under: Vitis vinifera (wine grape)
Lineage: Eukaryota; Viridiplantae; Streptophyta; Magnoliopsida; Vitales; Vitaceae
Description: long non-coding RNA (VVIN_LNC008275)
Source: RNAcentral
AAAAAAAUCAAUUGAUAUAUUCAUUAAGACAUAUUUUAAAAUAAAUAGGUGUACGCACAAAUUUCGUAAAUUGAUCUUGCAAAAUUAGUAAAACAAAUAGGAAAAUAAUGCAAACAAAAUAUUUAUUGAAAUUAAAAAUAUAGUGGGUACAAUCUCAAAAAAAUAAUAUUCUUUCCAAAAUAAUAUUUUCCCUCUGAUUCUUU